This is a non-coding RNA of Acanthosepion pharaonis, 93 nucleotides long. The record is from the annotation of a GenBank genome assembly. Lineage: Eukaryota; Metazoa; Mollusca; Cephalopoda; Sepiida; Sepiidae.
UUAAAAUACCGGUUCUCAUGCGAUCGACGAAGUUAAGCAACGUCGAGCCUUGUCAGUACCUAGAUGGGUGACCGCUUGGGAAGACUAGGUGCU